UACAGAGGGUGCGAGCGUUGUCCGGAAUCACUGGGCGUAAAGGGCGCGCAGGCGGCCGCUCAAGUCAGGCGUGAAAGCCCCGGGCUUAACCUGGGAACUGCGUCUGGGACUGAGUGGCUAGAGUUCGGGAGAGGAGAGUGGAAUUCCCAGUGUAGAGGUGAAAUUCGUAGAUAUUGGGAAGAACACCGGUGGCGAAGGCGGCUCUCUGGACCGAGACUGACGCUGAGGCGCGAAAGCGUGGGGAGCAAACAGG
This 253-nucleotide ribosomal RNA is filed under the name uncultured bacterium. RNAcentral's name for it is "partial 16S ribosomal RNA". It matches the Rfam family "Bacterial small subunit ribosomal RNA", at positions 524 to 776 of the family's 1533-position model. The record is from RNAcentral.